UCGAACGAACUCUGGUAUUGAUUGGUGCUUGCAUCAUGAUUUACAUUUGAGUGAGUGGCGAACUGGUGAGUAACACGUGGGAAACCUGCCCAGAAGCGGGGGAUAACACCUGGAAACAGAUGCUAAUACCGCAUAACAACUUGGACCGCAUGGUCCGAGUUUGAAAGAUGGCUUCGGCUAUCACUUCUGGAUGGUCCCGCGGCGUAUUAGCUAGAUGGUGAGGUAACGGCUCACCAUGGCAAUGAUACGUAGCCGACCUGAGAGGGUAAUCGGCCACAUUGGGACUGAGACACGGCCCAAACUCCUACGGGAGGCAGCAGUAGGGAAUCUUCCACAAUGGACGAAAGUCUGAUGGAGCAACGCCGCGUGAGUGAAGAAGGGUUUCGGCUCGUAAAACUCUGUUGUUAAAGAAGAACAUAUCUGAGAGUAACUGUUCAGGUAUUGACGGUAUUUAACCAGAAAGCCACGGCUAACUACGUGCCAGCAGCCGCGGUAAUACGUAGGUGGCAAGCGUUGUCCGGAUUUAUUGGGCGUAAAGCGAGCGCAGGCGGUUUUUUAAGUCUGAUGUGAAAGCCUUCGGCUCAACCGAAGAAGUGCAUCGGAAACUGGGAAACUUGAGUGCAGAAGAGGACAGUGGAACUCCAUGUGUAGCGGUGAAAUGCGUAGAUAUAUGGAAGAACACCAGUGGCGAAGGCGGCUGUCUGGUCUGUAACUGACGCUGAGGCUCGAAAGUAUGGGUAGCAAACAGGAUUAGAUACCCUGGUAGUCCAUACCGUAAACGAUGAAUGCUAAGUGUUGGAGGGUUUCCGCCCUUCAGUGCUGCAGCUAACGCAUUAAGCAUUCCGCCUGGGGAGUACGGCCGCAAGGCUGAAACUCAAAGGAAUUGACGGGGGCCCGCACAAGCGGUGGAGCAUGUGGUUUAAUUCGAAGCUACGCGAAGAACCUUACCAGGUCUUGACAUACUAUGCAAAUCUAAGAGAUUAGACGUUCCCUUUGGGGACAUGGAUACAGGUGGUGCAUGGUUGUCGUCAGCUCGUGUCGUGAGAUGUUGGGUUAAGUCCCGCAACGAGCGCAACCCUUAUUAUCAGUUGCCAGCAUUAAGUUGGGCACUCUGGUGAGACUGCCGGUGACAAACCGGAGGAAGGUGGGGAUGACGUCAAAUCAUCAUGCCCCUUAUGACCUGGGCUACACACGUGCUACAAUGGAUGGUACAACGAGUUGCGAACUCGCGAGAGUAAGCUAAUCUCUUAAAGCCAUUCUCAGUUCGGAUUGUAGGCUGCAACUCGCCUACAUGAAGUCGGAAUCGCUAGUAAUCGC
Molecule: ribosomal RNA, 1317 nt
Filed under: Lactiplantibacillus plantarum
Lineage: Bacteria; Bacillati; Bacillota; Bacilli; Lactobacillales; Lactobacillaceae
Description: bacterial SSU rRNA
Rfam family: Bacterial small subunit ribosomal RNA
Source: RNAcentral